CCAAAACAUUUGCUUGCUUGGGCCUCACCGCUCCUGCAAACAUACACCCCCUCUGCGUACCUGUCCCUGUUGCUUCCGUCAGCCAGCGGGCGAGCCCUGGGCCCGCCCCCUCCGGUGCCUGAUCCAUCCAGGGUCGGCUGGAGAGCCGCUGGCGGUGAGCCAUACACGUAAACACCUGUCACAUGUCUGCACGUGUCUGAGCUUCAAUGCUAUGAAACAUAACAAGUUA
Molecule: unclassified non-coding RNA, 229 nt
Filed under: uncultured fungus
Lineage: Eukaryota; Fungi
Description: sequence contains ITS1
Source: RNAcentral